This 68-nucleotide transfer RNA is filed under the name Phyllothelys breve. RNAcentral's name for it is "tRNA-Ser". It matches the Rfam family "tRNA". From Rfam's summary of the family: Transfer RNA (tRNA) molecules are approximately 80 nucleotides in length. Their secondary structure includes four short double-helical elements and three loops (D, anti-codon, and T loops). Further hydrogen bonds mediate the characteristic L-shaped molecular structure. tRNAs have two regions of fundamental functional importance: the anti-codon, which is responsible for specific mRNA codon recognition, and the 3' end, to which the tRNAs corresponding amino acid is attached (by aminoacyl-tRNA synthetases). tRNAs cope with the degeneracy of the genetic code in two manners: having more than one tRNA (with a specific anti-codon) for a particular amino acid; and 'wobble' base-pairing, i.e. permitting non-standard base-pairing at the 3rd anti-codon position. Lineage: Eukaryota; Metazoa; Arthropoda; Insecta; Mantodea; Hymenopodidae. The record is from RNAcentral.
AGUUAUUUACUUGAAAUAAGCUUAUGUCUUGAAAUCAUAAUGAAAGGGUUUAUUUCCCUUAAUAACUU